Gastrolobium bilobum is the source of this 925-nucleotide long non-coding RNA. RefSeq lists it as uncharacterized. The transcript is spliced from 3 exons. The record is from RefSeq and is a predicted model, not a curated record. NCBI's taxonomy places the organism in Eukaryota, Viridiplantae, Streptophyta, Magnoliopsida, Fabales, Fabaceae.
GAAUUCAAGUAACCCCUUUCUCCUUGCGAGGCCGCACUCUUCCAUAGAGGAGACAUCAUCAUCUAGUCUAACAUUCUGCCCUCCUUUAAACCAUGCACAAAGACCCAAAGCUUGCUUGCUGCUUCCCUUCCUUAUUCUUCAGUAGAAACCAUGAGCCAUUAGAGAGGAGAACCACCAGUUUAGCUUUCUUCUUCUCUCCUUUACUGAUUCGGUCAAUAGCAGUAACCUAGGGGACGGCAACAAGAGCGCAGCAUCCACCCCUUCCCUUGUUCGGCCAGAGGCAAUCUCUAGGAGCUAGGAUUGAGUCACCCCAUUGCAUGCAGCUGAACACCCAAUUUACUACAAGGAGGAUCAUUGUCCUUAAUUCUGUCGUGUCCCUCAUUGCAUGUUAGAACCAGAGUGUGAGGAUCCAAGCACCAGGCUUGGUGGCUGUCUCCCUAAUUUUGGGCGAAUUUUGCUGUGCAUACAAAGAGGUGUGCUAACUUCUAAAAGUGUGGGCCGAUUGGUGAUGCUUUGAUAAAAUAAAAUGUUAAAGACUCGAGGAAAACGUAAAAGCUUUUGAGGACUUGGAUAUUUGCUGUUGGUUUCUACUAUUGGGCAUGCUGCUUUGAUUGUAUUAUUUUCAUGGAUGACUGUACUAAUUGUGGAUGUUUAAAUUAUUAGUGAACUAUGUUUGCAUUUUGUUUUAAGACUUUUAAGAACAGCAAGUGUUUUGAAACGAAUUUCAGAACCGUUUUUACGAAAACUGAUUCAUGACGUUUUGAAAGCUAAGUUAAAACUGUUUGUGCGAGCAUUUUGUAGGUUGGCGUCCCGGGGCUACGGACCUCUGAUUUUCUUAUAAUUUAUAUGCACGUGUAGCCCAAGGUGUCUAGUUUCAUUAUAUAUAAACCUUUCAACGAAAUUCUGAAAGCUCGAUUUAUUAUGA